GCUGGCGUAGCUCAGCAGGUAGAGCAGCGCUUUCGUAAAGCGCGGGUCGGAGGUUCGAUUCCUCUCGCCAGCU
Molecule: transfer RNA, 73 nt
Filed under: Candidatus Omnitrophota bacterium
Lineage: Bacteria; Pseudomonadati; Candidatus Omnitrophota
Description: Candidatus Omnitrophica bacterium tRNA-Thr
Rfam family: tRNA
About the family: Transfer RNA (tRNA) molecules are approximately 80 nucleotides in length. Their secondary structure includes four short double-helical elements and three loops (D, anti-codon, and T loops).
Source: RNAcentral